GUGGUAAUUCUAGAGCUAAUACAUGCUAAAAACCCCGACUUCGGAAGGGGUGUAUUUAUUAGAUAAAAAACCAAUGCCCUUCGGGGCUCCUUGGUGAUUCAUAAUAACUUAACGAAUCGCAUGGCCUUGCGCCGGCGAUGGUUCAUUCAAAUUUCUGCCCUAUCAACUUUCGAUUGUAGGAUAGAGGCCUACAAUGGUCUUAACGGGUAACGGGGAAUUAGGGUUCUAUUCCGGAGAGGGAGCCUGAGAAACGGCUACCACAUCCAAGGAAGGCAGCAGGCGCGCAAAUUACCCAAUCCCGAUACGGGGAGGUAGUGACAAUAAAUACUGAUACGGGGCUCUUUCGGGUCUCGUAAUUGGAAUGAGUACAAUCUAAAUCCCUUAACGAGGAACAAUUGGAGGGCAAGUCUGGUGCCAGCAGCCGCGGUAAUUCCAGCUCCAAUAGCGUAUAUUAAAGUUGUUGCCGUUAAAAAGCUCGUAGUUGAACCUUGGCCCUGGCUGGUCUGUCCUCCUAAUCGAGCGCACGGAUUCGGUCGGGGCUUUCCUUCUGGGGAGCCCCAUGCCCUUCACUGGGUGUGGCGGGGAACCAGGACUUUUACCUUGAAAAAAUUAGAGUGUUCAAAGCAGGCCUUUGCUCGAAUACAUUAGCAUGGAAUAAUAGAAUAGGACAUCGGUUCUAUUUUGUUGGUUUCUAGGACCGCUGUAAUGAUUAAUAGGGACAGUCGGGGGCGUCAGUAUUCAAUUGUCAGAGGUGAAAUUCUUGGAUUUAUUGAAGACUAACUACUGCGAAAGCAUUCGCCAAGGAUGUUUUCAUUAAUCAGUGAACGAAAGUUAGGGGAUCGAAGACGAUCAGAUACCGUCGUAGUCUUAACCAUAAACUAUGCCGACUAGGGAUCGGACGGUGGUUUUUUUAU
RNAcentral lists this ribosomal RNA (914 nucleotides) under Exophiala ellipsoidea. Its description in RNAcentral is "SSU rRNA". It matches the Rfam family "Eukaryotic small subunit ribosomal RNA", at positions 149 to 1072 of the family's 1831-position model. The record is from RNAcentral. Lineage: Eukaryota; Fungi; Ascomycota; Eurotiomycetes; Chaetothyriales; Herpotrichiellaceae.